RNAcentral lists this ribosomal RNA (253 nucleotides) under uncultured bacterium. RNAcentral's name for it is "partial 16S ribosomal RNA". It matches the Rfam family "Bacterial small subunit ribosomal RNA", at positions 524 to 776 of the family's 1533-position model. The record is from RNAcentral.
UACGUAGGGUGCGAGCGUUGUCCGGAAUUAUUGGGCGUAAAGAGCUCGUAGGCGGCUUGUCGCGUCGGAUGUGAAAGCCCGAAGCUUAACCCCGGAUCUGCAUUCGAUACAGGCAGGCUAGAGUGUAAUAAAGGAGAUCAGAAUUCCUGGUGUAGCGGUGAAAUGCACAGAUAUCAGGAGGAACACCGAUAGCGAAAACGGAUCUCUGGACCAUUACUGACGCUGAAGAGCGAAAGCGUAAGGAGCGAACAAG